This 285-nucleotide ribosomal RNA is filed under the name Triticum aestivum (bread wheat). Its description in RNAcentral is "partial small subunit ribosomal RNA". The record is from RNAcentral. Lineage: Eukaryota; Viridiplantae; Streptophyta; Magnoliopsida; Poales; Poaceae.
UUUUUGAGUUUCUAUUUAUUUUCGAUUGGUAUCUAUGGAUUGAUCACAAGCCGAAACAUGGUUAGAGCUCUAAUAUGUCUUGAACUUAUAUUGAAUUCAAUUAAUCUAAAUCUCGUAACAUUUUCUGAUCUAUUUGAUAGUCGCCAAUUAAAAGGUGAUAUUUUCGCAAUUUUUGUUAUAGCCCUUGCGGCUGCUGAAGCCGCUAUUGGACUAUCCAUUCUUUGUUCCAUCCAUCAUAAUAGGAAAUCCACUCGUAUCAAUCAAUCUAAUUUAUUGAAUAACUAG